GGGGCUGCACGGCUUCGACGGGGAGGGACGAUCACAAGUGGCAAGCGGUGGAGUCUGACCACCAUAAAACGGACAAAAGUUUAGUUGCGAACACUCGCACAAACUUGGCGGCAUUGCCGCUCGCUGCCUAAACGGCAGUUAGCAAAUGCUAACAAGUCCGCAGUUAAAUCUGCGGCGUCCACAUACGGGCUUCCCCAAAGCGCGUAUGCCGGGCGUCACCAAGUUGGGGUAUCUCACCACAACGCCGAUAGUGAGUGACGAAGACAUGUAACCAUGUCAAUCGGCUUCGGCGCAAGCAACUCUGACAGUCGAGUCCGUUUGCGCAAGUAAGAUGCGCUUCCCGUGCAAACGGGUCGCCCAUCACCUAAAGACUGGCUAAGCUUGUAGUCACUUGUUUUCCAACUCUUCGGACGCGAGUUCAAUUCUCGCCAGCUCCACUC
RNAcentral lists this transfer-messenger RNA (440 nucleotides) under Chloroflexota bacterium. RNAcentral describes it as "Chloroflexi bacterium transfer-messenger RNA". It matches the Rfam family "transfer-messenger RNA". Rfam says of the family: Bacterial tmRNA, also known as 10Sa RNA or SsrA, is named for its dual tRNA and mRNA-like properties. Its role is to liberate the mRNA from a stalled ribosome. Lineage: Bacteria; Bacillati; Chloroflexota. The record is from RNAcentral.